Molecule: ribosomal RNA, 451 nt
Filed under: uncultured bacterium
Lineage: Bacteria
Description: bacterial SSU rRNA
Rfam family: Bacterial small subunit ribosomal RNA
Source: RNAcentral
AAUGAACGCUGGCGGCAGGCCUAACACAUGCAAGUCGAACGGAUCCUUCGGGAUUAGUGGCGGACGGGUGAGUAACGCGUGGGAACAUACCCUUUGGUACGGAAUAGCCUCGGGAAACUGGGAGUAAUACCGUAUGUGCUCUUCGGAGGAAAGAUUUAUCGCCAAAGGAUUGGCCCGCGUUGGAUUAGGUAGUUGGUGGGGUAAUGGCCUACCAAGCCGACGAUCCAUAGCUGGUUUGAGAGGAUGAUCAGCCACACUGGGACUGAGACACGGCCCAGACUCCUACGGGAGGCAGCAGUGAGGAAUCUUAGACAAUGGGGGAAACCCUGAUCUAGCCAUGCCGCGUGAUCGAUGAAGGCCUUAGGGUUGUAAAGAUCUUUCAGUGGGGAAGAUAAUGACGGUACCCACAGAAGAAGCCCCCGGCUAACUCCGUGCCAGCAGCCGCGGUAAU